CCUACGGGUGGCAGCAGUGAGGAAUAUUGGUCAAUGGACGAGAGUCUGAACCAGCCAAGUAGCGUGAAGGAUGACUGCCCUAUGGGUUGUAAACUUCUUUUAUAUGGGAAUAAAAUGUUCCACGUGUGGGAUUUUGUAUGUACCAUAUGAAUAAGGAUCGGCUAACUCCGUGCCAGCAGCCGCGGUAAUACGGAGGAUCCGAGCGUUAUCCGGAUUUAUUGGGUUUAAAGGGAGCGUAGGUGGAUUGUUAAGUCAGUUGUGAAAGUUUGCGGCUCAACCGUAAAAUUGCAGUUGAAACUGGCAGUCUUGAGUACAGUAGAGGUGGGCGGAAUUCGUGGUGUAGCGGUGAAAUGCUUAGAGAGCACGAAGAACUCCGAUUGCGAAGGCAGUUCACUGGACUGCAACUGACACUGAGGCUCGAAAGUGUGGGUAUCAAACAGGAUUAGAUAUCCUUGUAGUC
RNAcentral lists this ribosomal RNA (460 nucleotides) under uncultured bacterium. RNAcentral's name for it is "partial 16S ribosomal RNA". It matches the Rfam family "Bacterial small subunit ribosomal RNA", at positions 338 to 795 of the family's 1533-position model. The record is from RNAcentral.